This 425-nucleotide ribosomal RNA is filed under the name uncultured bacterium. Its description in RNAcentral is "bacterial SSU rRNA". It matches the Rfam family "Bacterial small subunit ribosomal RNA", at positions 355 to 796 of the family's 1533-position model. The record is from RNAcentral.
UAGGGAAUUUUCCGCAAUGGACGAAAGUCUGACGGAGCAACGCCGCGUGCAGGAGGAAGGCCCUCGGGUCGUAAACUGCUUUUAUUGGUGACGAUUUUGACGGUAGCCAAUGAAUAAGGACCUGCUAACUACGUGCCAGCAGCCGCGGUCAUACGUAGGGUCCAAGCGUUAUCCGGAAUUACUGGGCGUAAAGAGUUGCGUAGGUGGCAUAGUAAGCAAAAAGUGAAAUGACUCGGCUCAACCGAGUAUACAUUUUUUGAACUGCUAAGCUUGAGUAUGAGAGAGGUAGAUGGAAUUUCUAGUGUAGGAGUGAAAUCCGUAGAUAUUAGAAGGAACACCGAUGGCGUAAGCAGUCUACUAGCUCAUUACUGACACUAAGGCACGAAAGCGUGGGGAGCGAACGGGAUUAGAUACCCCCGUAGUCC